GAGCGGUAGCACAGAGAGCUUGCUCUCGGGUGACGAGCGGCGGACGGGUGAGUAAUGUCUGGGAAACUGCCUGAUGGAGGGGGAUAACUACUGGAAACGGUAGCUAAUACCGCAUAACGUCGCAAGACCAAAGAGGGGGACCUUCGGGCCUCUUGCCAUCAGAUGUGCCCAGAUGGGAUUAGCUAGUAGGUGGGGUAAUGGCUCACCUAGGCGACGAUCCCUAGCUGGUCUGAGAGGAUGACCAGCCACACUGGAACUGAGACACGGUCCAGACUCCUACGGGAGGCAGCAGUGGGGAAUAUUGGACAAUGGGCGAAAGCCUGAUCCAGCCAUGCCGCGUGUGUGAAGAAGGUCUUCGGAUUGUAAAGCACUUUAAGUUGGGAGGAAGGGUCGUUACCUAAUACGUGACGAUUUUGACGUUACCGACAGAAUAAGCACCGGCUAACUCUGUGCCAGCAGCCGCGGUAAUACAGAGGGUGCAAGCGUUAAUCGGAAUUACUGGGCGUAAAGCGCGCGUAGGUGGUUUGUUAAGUUGAAUGUGAAAGCCCCGGGCUCAACCUGGGAACUGCAUCCAAAACUGGCAAGCUAGAGUAGGGCAGAGGGUGGUGGAAUUUCCUGUGUAGCGGUGAAAUGCGUAGAUAUAGGAAGGAACACCAGUGGCGAAGGCGACCACCUGGGCUCAUACUGACACUGAGGUGCGAAAGCGUGGGGAGCAAACAGGAUUAGAUACCCUGGUAGUCCACGCCGUAAACGAUGUCGACUUGGAGGUUGUUCCCUUGAGGAGUGGCUUCCGGAGCUAACGCGUUAAGUCGACCGCCUGGGGAGUACGGCCGCAAGGUUAAAACUCAAAUGAAUUGACGGGGGCCCGCACAAGCGGUGGAGCAUGUGGUUUAAUUCGAUGCAACGCGAAGAACCUUACCUACUCUUGACAUCCACGGAAUUUGGCAGAGAUGCCUUAGUGCCUUCGGGAACCGUGAGACAGGUGCUGCAUGGCUGUCGUCAGCUCGUGUUGUGAAAUGUU
Molecule: ribosomal RNA, 1021 nt
Filed under: uncultured bacterium
Lineage: Bacteria
Description: bacterial SSU rRNA
Rfam family: Bacterial small subunit ribosomal RNA
Source: RNAcentral